This 253-nucleotide ribosomal RNA is filed under the name uncultured bacterium. RNAcentral's name for it is "partial 16S ribosomal RNA". It matches the Rfam family "Bacterial small subunit ribosomal RNA", at positions 524 to 776 of the family's 1533-position model. The record is from RNAcentral.
GACGGAGGGUGCAAGCGUUGCUCGGAAUCAUUGGGCGUAAAGGGUGCGUAGGCGGCUUUUUAAGUCUGACGUGAAAGCCCAAGGCUCAGCCUUGGAAGUGCGCCAGAAACUGAAAGGCUCGAGUGCCGGAGGGGAGAGUGGAAUUCCUGGUGUAGCGGUGAAAUGCGUAGAUAUCAGGAGGAAUACCGGUGGCGAAAGCGACUCUCUGGACGGUAACUGACGCUGAGGCACGAAAGCGUGGGGAGCAAACAGG